GACGAACGCUGGCGGCGUGCCUAAUACAUGCAAGUCGAGCGAAGUUUUUCUGGUGCUUGCACUAGAAAAACUUAGCGGCGAACGGGUGAGUAACACGUAAAGAACCUGCCUCAUAGACUGGGACAACUAUUGGAAACGAUAGCUAAUACCGGAUAACAGUAUUUCUCGCAUGAGAGAUAUUUAAAAGUUGGUUAUGCUAACACUAUGAGAUGGCUUUGCGGUGCAUUAGCUAGUUGGUGGGGUAAAGGCCCACCAAGGCGACGAUGCAUAGCCGACCUGAGAGGGUGAUCGGCCACACUGGGACUGAGACACGGCCCAGACUCCUACGGGAGGCAGCAGUAGGGAAUCUUACGCAAUGGGCGAAAGCCUGACGGAGCAACGCCGCGUGAGUGAAGAAGGAUUUCGGUUCGUAAAGCUCUGUUGUUAGGGAAGAAUGGAUAUGUAGUAACUAUACAUGUAAGAGACGGUACCUAACCAGAAAGCCACGGCUAACUACGUG
Molecule: ribosomal RNA, 499 nt
Filed under: uncultured bacterium
Lineage: Bacteria
Description: partial 16S ribosomal RNA
Rfam family: Bacterial small subunit ribosomal RNA
Source: RNAcentral